CACUAGUCAACUUACUCACCACUAUGACCAGCCUGAGAAAGAAUUCUCUUCGCAUCCCUUCCUUCCCUGUAUCAUCGCAGCAGCCAGGACGGCGCGACGCCAUCAACCACCGGGCGGUGACCCGCAACCUAGAGCAGGUGCAGGAUCGCCACCGCCUCCGGCCGACAAGGAUUGAGCUCCAUGGUUCCAGGCGCACCGGGCAGAUCCGCCGCCGAGGGGACGACCUCCACCACUGCCCCGCUACCCUGCAUACUCUACGCGCCCAACCCCGGCCACCUCGACGACUCGCCUCCGCAUGGACGACCUGCACCACCGUCCUACUACCCCAGAAUCGACGCCGCCGCCGCCUUUUGGCGACUUCCCCUACCCAAGUGGCGUCUCCAACAUCAGAUUGGUGUCUGCUCCUUUGCUCUGAAAACGUGUCAUGCUGUCCAGAUCCGUUCUCUUUGUCCUGAAGUUGGCUGGGGACUUUCCACAUGGCAAGUUCCAUUGGAUGUAUCAAAGAUAAAAUGAGUGGAUUUGGUAUCAUACCACUCAUGUUUCGGCACUGUACCUACAAACUUUGAGUCUAUAUUGCCAUCUCAAAAAUACAUGGGUAACAUAUUAAAGGUGCAUUCAUGUAUUUUUAUUUGACACCAUGUUGAUUAUAUCAUUUUUUGUUUGAAAAGAACUAUCCCUGAAGUGAUCAGAGCAGUACCGUGUGUGCCACCCAGUCGCCAGGUCAAGCUGCUGCGCUAGAUCGUCUUCGUCGUGGAUUGUCGUCAUGUUCGCAGCCAUCGCACCACCUGCCGGAUUAUUGUGGCAACUCCUGUUAGGCAUCCUCUCCUGAAUCCUCAUAGAACUCACAUGUACUCUUGGUUCAGUCUGUUUCUUAUGUGAGAUCUGAAGUCACAAUUUCAGUUAGCUCGGAACUAAAAAUUCAGUGAUCAUGAACAAUAUAUUCAAGUAGAGCAAAAGGUUCUUCUCUAUGAUUUUCUUGAUGAUUUCCUAAUUAAGUUACCGAUGAUUAUUUCAAUCUGUUCUGUCUUGAGCAAGCAAGCCGGUCUGACACUAAUGUGCCACUGUACUUGACUGGUUGUCACUGAAGCUUAUAUAUUACUAUUUCAGAAAUUAGCUGAGCAUUAAUCGACAAUGAAGAUGUUUUCCGUACAUAACAUAGGUCCUUUCUUUUCAUCUAUCUUUUCAUCACGGACUAGGUUUUUCUUAUGGGUUAAUCUGGAAUUCGUUUUUGUAUGCUACAUAUUUUAUUCCCAUUUUUGAUUCUUUUAGGAAACACACAGACACACGCACACUAUGAAUAUUAGAUGGAGUGGAGAGAGCAAAUGGAAGAAUCAUUGAGUGAAGGAAUACUUAGAGCACUAUCAUGUUUUAUCAGCUGGAGGGGAGACGAAGAUGGAAGAAUCACAGAGUGAAGGAAAACUGACAGCACUAUGAUGUUCACUAAACUUCAGAUGGCCGUUUUAUUAAAAGAAAAUUUUCGUAUUUUGCAGCCAGGGCAGCGCUACAGAGGUACAAACUUAGUACUAAGCUGUUGUUAUGCAUCUGCAUGAUUGUAUAUGUGUCUCUUAAUGUAUGAGAAAGCUCUUUGAUCUAAACAAAGGCUAGAGGGUACUUUCAGCAUUUUGAAAUAUUCCGCAGGAUAUAUGAAGACAAGCCUAUCCUAGCCGAUCGAUUCUCCAUAAUAAUUCACACUUGCUUUCAAGACUAUUUUUCAGUUGUGUCCUUUCGCUUCGUUCAACAUUUAAUUUUGAUAUCUGAUGCUUGCACGAGAUGCAAAAUUCUAGGAGCACACCUGUGGAUUUCAAAUUGCUUUUCAGAUGGGAAGUAAGUGCAAAGCCCACACUUUGCUCUUCAUAAUAAUCUCUCUGACAAUAUGUUCUUCUUUGUUGUGUGCACAGCAUGAGACCGCGUCCAUGGCAUCAUAUGUCACAGGACAACAAACGGCACAAGAGAUCAUACGAGCGGACAUUCGCUAUGUGGUGUCUCAAGAGACUAGCGAUGUCCGAGUUACCUGCUGCCCUUUGCGAUGAUCCCAUCCAGCAGGCAGGCGGGACUAGCAUCGAUCGGGUGAGUGGCAACGGCGAUCAACUCAGUUGAGCUAGGAUACAAUCAGAUAGCCACAGUCCACAGGGACAGUUUAGUCCUUUCACGAGCAUUCUUAUGUGAGAAGAAAAAAUGAAUAAAAGAGUUGCUAAUGGCAUAGUAAUCAAGGUGUCAACGAUCUAAGUGGCGAUUUUACGGAGUCAAUAUGGAAAGGGGCAAUUUCUUAAAGCCACAUGACGAAGGUGGCAAAAAUCCAAAUACUGCUACCUCAUACAGUCUAGGCCCCUGACACUUAAAAUAUUAGCAACAAUCAGUUUGCAUAAUAGUGAUGUGCUCAUUUGUCAUGGAUGGUUAUCAAAUGCAGUUCAGAGAGGGUAAGGUGCCUGUAAGUAUGUAAUACAAUUAGCUUAUGUGUGAUCACUUACCAAAUUUUAGCUUA
Long non-coding RNA from Triticum aestivum (bread wheat), 2482 nucleotides. RefSeq lists it as uncharacterized. The transcript is spliced from 2 exons. Lineage: Eukaryota; Viridiplantae; Streptophyta; Magnoliopsida; Poales; Poaceae. The record is from RefSeq and is a predicted model, not a curated record.